AAUGAUAUUUGAAACAUGUCACCCUAGCCGUGCCUUCGCUCUGGACUGGGAGGCGAGUCAGUCAGAAUCUGCAUUAUGGAAUGUUUUGGAUGACAAGCUUGUAUUUGCAAAUGUACACACCCUGUGAGAGGUGCUCUGUACAUACGCUGAGAUACUGUACAUAAAAUUGCCUCUGAAUCCCAAUCAUCUGAAAACCGUGUCCUCAGCCUUUGAUACCUUCAGCUGUUUUAUGAAAGUCCUCCAAGUGGAUGAAAGUAUCAACAACCGGAACAAGAGUUUUUCAUUGCCCUAUUUGAGAAGAGCUGCGUGAACGACUUUUAUAUUCAGGAUAGAGAUACAUUCAUCAAUCCAACCACCAGGAGCCGCACUGGACUCCAUCUGAGAUGACAGCAACCCCUCAAAUUCAGAAGCACUUCUCUAACUGACAACAUCUCGCAUGAAAUGAAGUUUGUAAAAUGUAAGAGCUUCAGACGCUAAAUGAUGCCAUAAAUGCAAAGAUGUUAUAUCUAAGCUCUUUAAAUAAAUCCUGUCAUUGAAA
Long non-coding RNA from Camelus dromedarius (Arabian camel), 538 nucleotides. RefSeq lists it as uncharacterized. The record is from RefSeq and is a predicted model, not a curated record. The transcript is spliced from 3 exons. Lineage: Eukaryota; Metazoa; Chordata; Mammalia; Artiodactyla; Camelidae.